CUCAUGUCUUUGCUCAUCUAGACCAUUCACCCCCAGCCCCUAUUACCUGGCACUGUGUGUGGCACCCGGGAAGUGCUCAGAAGGUGUCUGAGACACAAACAGCUUCAUGGGGAAGGAGCAGCAGGUCCCUGCUCUGGGCCUUCUGUUCCCUGCAUAGACCCAGGGAGGGACAGUGUCUGGCUCAGGAGGCCCUGCAGGGACAAAGCCAAGACCCCCACCUUCCAUCACCUGCUGGGCUCCCAAAGCAUCAUCCAAACAGAAGCCACAUGGAGAAAGUGAAGGGCAGCCCUGACACCUGGACAUGAGCACUUUCAUGGGCAGCACCUCAGACAAGGAAAGGAGCACAGAUCACACCUGACUCACCUGCAACCUUCAGCUCCACCUGGGCUGUUGCAUAGAAAUCUCCAUCUUGGAAAUAACAGAGGUAGGU
Molecule: long non-coding RNA, 430 nt
Organism: Artibeus jamaicensis (Jamaican fruit-eating bat)
Lineage: Eukaryota; Metazoa; Chordata; Mammalia; Chiroptera; Phyllostomidae
Exons: 3
Source: RefSeq, a predicted model, not a curated record